Molecule: small nucleolar RNA, 151 nt
Organism: Cavia porcellus (domestic guinea pig)
Lineage: Eukaryota; Metazoa; Chordata; Mammalia; Rodentia; Caviidae
Gene: SNORA70
Rfam family: Small nucleolar RNA SNORA70
About the family: snoRNA U70 seems to be exclusive to mammals and is a member of the H/ACA class of snoRNA which contain H (ANANNA) and ACA box motifs.
Source: Ensembl
AUGCACAUACAAGGCCUACUUUUAAACCAAAAAACAUAAUUUAUCUUGCUGCUGGCUUCUCAGUGUGCAACAGUAGCAAACAGCAACUUCCCCAGUAGUGUAUGUUACGUGUCAUUCAUAUGGGUUACUUUAAGGGACCAUGGAUACACUG